ACACUCCUGCGGGAGGCAGCAGUGGGGAAUUUUGGACAAUGGGGGCAACCCUGAUCCAGCAAUGCCGCGUGAGUGAAGAAGGCCUUCGGGUUGUAAAGCUCUUUUGUCAGGGAAGAAACGGUGGUGGCGAAUAACUACUACUAAUGACGGUACCUGAAGAAUAAGCACCGGCUAACUACGUGCCAGCAGCCGCGGUAAUACGUAGGGUGCAAGCGUUAAUCGGAAUUACUGGGCGUAAAGCGUGCGCAGGCGGUUGUGUAAGUCAGAUGUGAAAUCCCCGGGCUCAACCUGGGAAUUGCAUUUGAGACUGCACGGCUAGAGUGUGUCAGAGGGGGGUAGAAUUCCACGUGUAGCAGUGAAAUGCGUAGAUAUGUGGAGGAAUACCGAUGGCGAAGGCAGCCCCCUGGGAUAACACUGACGCUCAUGCACGAAAGCGUGGGGAGCAAACAGGAUUAGAUACCCGGGUAGUCCCAUGA
Molecule: ribosomal RNA, 476 nt
Filed under: uncultured organism
Description: partial 16S ribosomal RNA
Rfam family: Bacterial small subunit ribosomal RNA
Source: RNAcentral